This 622-nucleotide ribosomal RNA is filed under the name Sarcocystis gigantea. RNAcentral describes it as "SSU rRNA". It matches the Rfam family "Eukaryotic small subunit ribosomal RNA", at positions 141 to 717 of the family's 1831-position model. Lineage: Eukaryota; Apicomplexa; Conoidasida; Eucoccidiorida; Sarcocystidae. The record is from RNAcentral.
GGAUAACCGUGGUAAUUCUAUGGCUAAUACAUGCGCAAAUACUGUAUAAUCAUAUUUAUUAUGAUUGUACAGUAGUGUUUAUUAGAUACAGAACCAACAGUGCGCCAUCACUUUCUAGUGGUGGUGUCAAAAGAGAAGGUGAUUCAUAGUAACCGAACGGAUCGCAUCAUAUUAUAAUCAUUUCGGUGAUUGGCGAUAGAUCAUUCAAGUUUCUGACCUAUCAGCUUUCGACGGUAGUGUAUUGGACUACCGUGGCAGUGACGGGUAACGGGGAAUUAGGGUUCGAUUCCGGAGAGGGAGCCUGAGAAACGGCUACCACAUCUAAGGAAGGCAGCAGGCGCGCAAAUUACCCAAUCCUGACUCAGGGAGGUAGUGACAAGAAAUAACAACACUGGAAAUUGUAUUUCUAGUGAUUGGAAUGAUGGGAAUCCAAACCCCUUUCAGAGUAACAAUUGGAGGGCAAGUCUGGUGCCAGCAGCCGCGGUAAUUCCAGCUCCAAUAGCGUAUAUUAAAGUUGUUGCAGUUAAAAAGCUCGUAGUUGGAUAUCUGCUGGAAGCAAUCAGUCCGCCCUUUUCGUAAGGGUGUGCACUUGAUGAAUUCUGGCAUGAUUUCAUCCUAAUAA